Long non-coding RNA from Mus musculus (house mouse), 1686 nucleotides. RefSeq annotates it as predicted gene, 31243. The transcript has 3 exons. The record is from RefSeq and is a predicted model, not a curated record. Lineage: Eukaryota; Metazoa; Chordata; Mammalia; Rodentia; Muridae.
UCAGUGUUCUUACUUAUACUGUAAAUUUAAAGCCUAAGCCUUCCUAAGACCGCCACGUUUCUACUUCCUGCCUCCUACCUAAUAAGGCAUCCCCUAUGCUGCAUGAUGCUCCCAAGUGUGUGUGUGUGUGUGUGUGUGUGUGUGUGUGUGUGUGUAUGUGGAUGUGAGGACCCAAGGCACACAAAACAAACUCUCCCAGCCAUGAGCUCCCAUAAAUCUCAUUCCAGAAGAAGAAUAAAGAUAAGUUCAUUCCAACAGCAGGCCAGGGAAAAUGGGCAAGCUAAACAUGGUAACAACUUCGAACUAAGAACAAAGAAUGCUCUAUUCAAACAGUCACGUUGCUGUCUCGGCAUAAAGGUCUCCUGCAGCGUGCCAGACUCCUGCAGUAAAACAACCUGGGUGUCUUAAAUUCCAAAUGCAAGACCGCAGGCACGCUGACAGAAUCAUGGGAGUGAACUAUGAUUACCUGGCGUGCUGUGCACUGCAUGCUGACAAGCAUCGGAAAGGUUCUCCGUUCUUCUGGGUGAUAACGAUGCCGGGAAGAGGAAGCCAGGGAUCUGUCAGCGAGCUUCCUGAUUGGGGUCCCUGCUCAAAGCAGGAAUGGAGUUAGCACCCCAUCCCUAGUCCCCUAGGCUGGGUUGGUUAGUGCUGAUUACCAGCUUGUGCUCUCGGUCCUCUCCAGAGCAACCCGUGCCCAUCUGAGCACUCUCGGCCCUCCUCACUAAGAGUGAAAAAAGGCACGGUUAAAAAUUGAAAAAAAAAAAAAAAAACUACUAGAAACCAUCAUAACAUUAAAAACUAUUCCAGUUACAUUAGCUACUUAUCUGGUUUCUGCUACAAGUAUCUGACUCCUGUAAUUUAGGAAGGCAGGCAGGCUUUAUUUUGGUUUGCGGUCCGAGAGUGCAAUCUUUCUGUAACCGUGGGGAUUAGAGGGAGUGGGUCACACAGCAGCCUCCGUGAGGAAGGCGGCAUCUACUGUGCUCAACUCCGCUUCUGCUUUUACUUGGUCGAGGAUCUAAGGGAUGGAAAGGCACUGUCCCCGUAGGUGGAUCUUCCCACCCCACGUGGCCUAAUAUAGACAAUCUCUUGAAGGCUUCCUCAGACGUCUGUCUCCUACAGCAUUCUAGAUCUCAUAAAGUAGACAGUCAAGAUUAAGCAGUGCUGCUCCAGUCUACUGUGUGGGUUGGGGGGUUGAGCUCAGGAGAACAGGUGUGGUGGCAAGCCCUGGACCCACUCAUCCAUCUUGCUAGCCCUCUGCCUGCCUAAAUACUAUAGAGAGUUUUUUCUUCUUUAAAUUAAAGUAAUAUUUAAACUUUAGCAAUAAUAUGAUCUGGCGCGCGCGCACACACACACACACACACACACACAUUUUUAUUUUUUUGGAGGAAAAUAACCAAGCAGUAAAUAUUUUGGGUUGUGGGCUACAUAGAGUCUUAUUGCAACUAUUCAUCUUUGGUGGUACAGUAUAAACGCAGCCAUAAUCAAUAUGUAAACACACAGAUACUGAAAUUUUACUUCAUAUAAAUUUUAAAGCACAAAAUAAUACUUUCAAUGGUAUUUUUGAGCCAGAUUUGACUUAUGGGCUAAUCCCAAAUUUAGUAAGUACAAAAUAAUGUCUCUCUCUUUUUUUUUCUCCCUUUCACUCUUUUAAUGGCACCUACCGCUCGUGUCUCUAGCUGCAUAUGU